Molecule: RNA transcript, 2574 nt
Organism: Manis javanica (Malayan pangolin)
Lineage: Eukaryota; Metazoa; Chordata; Mammalia; Pholidota; Manidae
Gene: LIN52
Gene name: lin-52 DREAM MuvB core complex component
Source: RefSeq, a predicted model, not a curated record
AUUUCUCUUUGGGGGCGUGGCUUAUCUGGGUCCGCUUUCCCGCCGACGGUUGGCCACGUCACGUGACAUGGGCUGGAAGAUGGCGUCUCCCACAGACGGGACAGAUCUAGAAGCAUCUUUACUAAGUUUUGAAAAACUUGACCGUGCUUCACCAGACCUUUGGCCAGAACAAUUACCAGGUGUUGCUGAAUUUGCUGCUUCUUUCAAAAGUCCUAUUACUAGCUCUCCACCCAAAUGGAUGGCUGAAAUAGAACGUGAUGAUAUUGACAUGUUGAAAGAACUGGGGAGCCUCACCACGGCUAAUUUGAUGGAGAAGGUACGAGGCCUACAGAACCUGGCCUAUCAGCUGGGGCUGGAUGAGUCCACCAGAAAAUUUACUGCGGAGAAGGCAGUUUGGGAAUAGUCAUUGUGGAAAGAGAGCCAGAAGCAAGGCUCAAUGUAGGAUGGAAGAAUUGGAGAGUCUAAAGAGAUUGUAUUAAACCACACACCACCUUCAGAGCAAGCAGGAUGGAGUCCUCGCUUCAGCCCUGACCUAAGUAUUCCCAGCCAGAGAGAUGACCCGGGGGAAAUUCCUCAACAUUCUGGAGAAGCCCAAGAAGUAGCAGCUGCUUGCAGGCAGGAUAUCCUGGGGACUGGAACCAUGCUUCCCAACGCGCACCUCAGUGCUUCCUGGCGAGAGGCCGGAGGGUGCACCUCCAGGACUGAUGUCUCUCUUGCUCUUGGCACUCUGCACCUCUAAGGAUGUUUGGCAGCAAGAGAAGAAUCUGCUCUACCCAAGGAUCAGUGCAGUUACUCAGUCAGCUUCCAGACUUUGACCACCUCAGCCUGAGAUAUUGGUAACACCAGAGGGCAUAUCAUUCUUAAAGGUCAAAGUCCUGCUGUCUCUUUUUGGAAGUGACACCGGAGCCCCAGGAUCUUGCAGUUGAUUUGAUUCAGUGAUGGCAAAGUCAGUUGUGACAUGUUGAUUGGAUGGGUUCUUUUGAGUUGUACUUGAUCUCUUAGGAAGUAUUUAUGAUGGGAGGAGACCAGAGACUAGUUGGAUUCUGAAACAGAUCAACUGAGCUGUGAACUCUCUAGUGUAUACUAGGUUCCAAGAAUCUCCCUCUGGAGAAAUCAGAAUCUUCUUGAAAUGCACAUCUGCUUUAAAAAUUCUAUACCUCUCAAGAUAGUGCCAUCCUCCGGUGCCUUUCAUUCCCCAUCCUCCACCCCCCAUCAGUUCUGACUGCAGAGAAGGGGGUCCUCAUGUAUCAAGUCCCUCCUGGGAUCAGCAUGUAUAGUGAAAGGCCCGUGCCAGGUUGGGUUCUAGACCUCAAGACCAAGUUAAAGGUGACAGAAAGGAUUUUUGAAUUCUAGUUAAUCUGUUACAGAUUCAAGCAGGGAAGUCAGUAUGGCCUGAAAGAAAGGAGAAGGGAAUUGUCUGCAGGAUUUCCCAUUGAUUAAAAACUAGAAACUCUAGUUGACCUUUGUGCUGUAGAAUGGUGGCUGUGUUUUGCCCCCCUUGUCCCUGCUCACAGCACAUGUCAAAUACUUCACCCAUAUAAUAGAAACACACACACACACAUACAAAAGGGAAAAAAAUUUUCCUGACUUAAAUACAUCUCUUAUGAAACUCUUUGCCAGUUAUCAGUCUCUGUGUUAAAAACCUCAAAAUCUAGCUAAAAUUGAUUACACAUUGUUCUUCAUAUUUUGUCUUAUAACCCAGCCCCCAGCCUCUAAGGUUCUGAGAAAAACAUGGGGUUUCCCUAAACUUUAUGGAAAGAAGCAUCCGUGUGGCAGUAGUCUGUCGGUGUUUGGACACAAGGAAAGUUGUGGUCAAGUGUUUGGUCCUGAGUGUCUGCUGGAGUGCAGCACUAUUCCAUUUUGUAGCUGGGCCAUUAUCUGCUCUCUGACACAUGUACCUUGUUUCCCAUGCUAGAAUUAAUGUUGGAUUUUUCUCUGAUUUGUACCAUUUGACCAUCCAUGCAAUUUUACAUAUUGUAAAGGCGGGAAAAAUUGAACACAAGACAAAAGGGAUAAAUAUGAGAAGGAAAACAUUCUCCUUGGAUGCUGUCAAAAAGUUAGGCAGUAGAGGCUUUGAUUUUAAGUUAAGCUUAUUAUUGUCAUUCCUUUAUCUCUAAAUGUGGUUGAAGAGUGAGAGAGAGGGAUGGUGGGGGGUGCCAAAAACAGUGCCGUAAUGUCAGAUUCUUCCUUUGCUCUGUAUUUGAGAGUUGAUGACAUCAGACACUUCUAAGUGAUUGGGGAAAUUGAGAAAUGUGUGGAGAAUAUUGGGAUACCUCCCCCAAACCAACUCAAGUCUGUAAACUGAAGCUGCGUAGUUGGUUUUUUGGUCUGCUCUGGCCCCUUUCUUUUACUGUCAUCUUACUCACCAGCACUUACUGUAAGUAGAUGUUUUAGAAUUGCUAUAUUUAUUGGUUUUAUAUUUGUCGUCCUUAGAAAUGUUAAUGAUGUAUUUUUAUAUUGAUAAUAUAAAUUUAUGUAUAAUGUGUGCAUGUAUGUAUUUCAGGGUGUUAGAGGAUUGUACUUUGUACAUGAUGGUUUCUGCGUCAUCAUAAUAAAUAUAUCCCUUUUACAGCA